AAGAAGUGGCAGCCGCCUGGGGUCUGUGAAGAAGAAGAAGAAGAAGAAGAAGAAGAUGGUGGAAGAAUCUGGGAGAGGGAGUUUUGGAUAUUCGGAAGGCUUUGGCAUGGGCGGGUGGGGAAGAUAACUUUUAUUAAUUUGUGUCUUCCCUACUCCGCCCAUGCCAUAGGUUUCCGAUUGUUCCUCCCUCUCACUCUUGCUUUCUCUGCCCUAACCCUCCAUCUCCGUCUGUGAUUCUGUGCGCUUCAUGUGACUAGACUCCUUCGAUCAUAGCUACAGCUCUACUGAUGAAUAAUAAUUUGACGCGGAAUAAUGAUGGAGAAAAAGGAUUUGCUUCAAUAAUUAACGAAUGCUUGUUGUGCUAUGCUUGUAUAUAUGCUCUGGAAUUGUCAAAAUAAAUAAUGAUGCGCAAGUUGUUUGAGCUAUCACAAUACUGUUGGCUUUACAAUAGCAGCAGCUUCACGGAUUUUAUUUUUAUUUUUAUUUUUUGAAGUCCCGAAUCGUAUGGAAUAGCAAGGUGGGUCUGGCACUGUUGAUUCUGGCUCCGACUGUUUUCCUGAUUCCUAUAAUAAUAGGGACUGUUUGUGUGUUGUGAGGCCCAUGGCAAGUGAAUCCGAGGUCCUGUGUAACUGUUGACAGAUUCCUUCCAGAUCCAGGUCAAGAUGUGCAUAUGAUGAUAUUUGACAUAUCCCAAGAAAAGCAACACCUAACAAAAUGGCCAAACGUGGCAAAUCUAUGACAUAAGCUAUUGCCAGUGGAUCACAUAUUAAGAUAAGAUUUGUACACAAAAGAAAAGCAAAAUGGAAUAUGGCUGGCUGGGCAAGAUUUGUUUCUUUUAAGUAAA
Long non-coding RNA from Juglans regia (Persian walnut), 844 nucleotides. RefSeq lists it as uncharacterized. The transcript has 2 exons. NCBI's taxonomy places the organism in Eukaryota, Viridiplantae, Streptophyta, Magnoliopsida, Fagales, Juglandaceae. The record is from RefSeq and is a predicted model, not a curated record.